ACCCGCACAAGCGGUGGAUGAUGUGGAUUAAUUCGAUGCAACGCGAAAACCUUACCUACCCUUGACAUGUCCGGAAUCCCGAAGAGAUUUGGGAGUGCUCGCAAGAGAGCCGGAACACAGGUGCUGCAUGGCUGUCGUCAGCUCGUGUCGUGAGAUGUUGGGUUAAGUCCCGCAACGAGCGCAACCCUUGUCAUUAAUUGCCAUCAUUCAGUUGGGCACUUUAAUGAGACUGCCGGUGACAAACCGGAGGAAGGUGGGGAUGACGUCAAGUCCUCAUGGCCCUUAUGGGUAGGGCUUCACACGUAAUACAAUGGUCGGUACAGAGGGUUGCCAACCCGCGAGGGGGAGCCAAUCCCAGAAAACCGAUCGUAGUCCGGAUUGCAGUCUGCAACUCGACUGCAUGAAGUCGGAAUCGCUAGUAAUCGCGGAUCAGCAUGUCGCGGUGAAUACGUUCCCGGGCCUU
Molecule: ribosomal RNA, 463 nt
Filed under: uncultured Propionivibrio sp.
Lineage: Bacteria; Pseudomonadati; Pseudomonadota; Betaproteobacteria; Rhodocyclales; Rhodocyclaceae
Description: bacterial SSU rRNA
Rfam family: Bacterial small subunit ribosomal RNA
Source: RNAcentral